CCAAAACUUAGCUGCUCCAGUUCAGGCUGGUUGCACGCUUCAACCCUUUGUGAACCAAAAACCUUUACGCUUCGGCAGCUGGUUUCAGCUGUAAGCCUGCCGAUGGCACCCAUUUAAACCUGUCGUUAAAUACUUGUCUGAAUUAAAUAUUUUCGAAUGAAAAUUA
RNAcentral lists this unclassified non-coding RNA (166 nucleotides) under soil metagenome. RNAcentral describes it as "partial internal transcribed spacer 1". The record is from RNAcentral.